GAAACGGCCACCGCAGGGUUGGCGGAGUUGGGAAAGAGCAAAGAUGGCGGAGUGAGGUGUUCCGUGGCACACCGGCCUUUGGGCCGGGGGUGGGCCGGCCCCCGGGCGGUCAAGUGCUUCUGCUGGCUCGUGCGAGGAAGAACAUUUUCCUUGACUUUUAAGUACUUUUAUAUUCAUCUUGAAAAGAAAACAAAACCCUGAACUCAGGAUUUGGCAAGUAUUUCUGUGUCGUCUCCUGGAGUGGAUAGUCCUGCUUUGUUUAUCCAGUCACUUUUUCUAAUCUUGAAAUAUGGAUGUCUCUUCUGUACACUUUACCUCCAUGAUUUGGAUUGGAAAAGGCUGCUUUUCUUUUGUUUCCACCUCUCAAAUUCAACUCAGAGAAGAUCCUAGGGUGCAGUUAUCCUGCAGACUUCUCCAGGAAGAAAGAAGCAACUGACAUGUGUCUUCUGCUGCUACUUGCUUAAUUGUAAAGAAAUUAUCUUGCAAACUGAAGGCUGAUGUUUAAUUUGAAACAGGUGCUUAGAUGGUGGUAUUUGUGAGUUCUCUACCUUUUGUUUCCAACAAGAAGACUUACAUAUAAAUAGCAAGUAUGGAUGACAUUAGAGUUUUUUUUAAUGUCUUCCAGUUUCAGCCACUAUCAUGAUAAGCACAGUGGAGGCUGCAGCAGCAAAUUCCAAAUAUGUGUGGAAAUCUGAAAUGAAAGAGAUGCUAAAAAAUUACAUAUGUAUCUAAAUCCUGGCUCAUCCUGCGAUAGAUUAACCGGAUAAGAACAAAAGUCCCAUUUUGCAGUAAAACCUUUGAUGUGAUAAGGAAGCAUAAAGACAAAAUAUUGCAAGGUUAAUUUCAUAUGUGAAUAAACCAUCACAAUCUCUGUAUAAAUACAUAUUUUUACAUGUGUAAAUCCACUUUUUUGAAUGAGAAGAGGAAUUUUUCUCCUAGAAAAAGAUGUUCUUUCUCAGAAGUCUUUGGACAUUUGGUAUUUUUAAAUGAUUUUUUCGUUCUUCGAAGGACCACAUUGUACAGCUGCUAACCCUAUGAAUGCAUGCUUGGGUUUAGUGAAAGGUUGGUAAAAGGAAACAAAUGUUUUGAGUCCAGUGAUGGAACCUUAUUCACCUCUGUAGGAUGAGAGGCUGCUAUAUCACCAAUUACUUCAUUCUUUUUUAUGGAGUCCUAUAUAGCUCUUGAGACGGUUUUCUGUGCUGCUAGGCUGGAAGAAAGGUGACAUGUGGUUUUUCUGCUCUGAAGAUGAGAUGGACCCUACAGUAUAACCUGCCUUCAACUUUGGACAUGGAGGAAUGGUGGGUGGAGGGGGAUGAGAAGUUUCCAUAUAACUCCCUUCUCCUAAGAAAAAGAUGUGAAAAUGCCUUAUGCAGCUCCACCUGACUUUAUGGCAUUUUACAUUCUAUAGCUCUGUUUUUUGUAAAAUCUUAAAUAACUUUUUUCCUUUGACUCAAGAUUGGUACUUGGAUGCUUGAUUUAUUUUUCUAGAUAGCUGUAAUGUCAGGCUGAAUAGGCUGGGACUCACGUAACUUUCUCCAGUUGGAACUUAACUUGCUCAUCAGCGAACCGGCCUCAGAAGCAGUGUUCCCAAACUUGUGGUUAGGUCAGUGUAGAUUAGAAGAAAUUCAGGGUCUGAAAAAACCUCAAACAAGAAAAAUAGUUCCAAUAAGACAUGGAUCUUUCUUCCUUACCCUUAAAACUUAUACUAUAUGAUGAACAGACUAUAGUCGUAAAGUUGUUCUUAAUCAACAGAGGACCAGUGUAUGAAUUGUCAGGUCUUUACAUAAGAGUGAAACCUUUAUGAGUUUGUGUGAGUAGAGAAAGGAUUUAAAGCUUCUUAGAUGAAAUUAAGAAUAAACCAUCCUAGAUCAUCUCUGUGGUUUAGGGAAUGUUUUCCCAAGGCUAUACAUGCAAUGAUGCUGAAAACUUCAGAUUUACCAAAAAUUGAGAGUAGUAGAAAUGGCCAAAAAGUGGAAAUGUUGAGCACUCUUAAUGAUUAGUUUAAUUGGUCGACCAAUUUGAAUUGGCACAGGAAGCGUUUUAGUAAAAUAAUUACAUCAUAUAUGUAAAUACAUUAAUUUCCUUUAAUUGAGGGCUGUUACUAAGUGGUAAAGCAUAGAAAUAACUUUGGAUAAAGGUAACUUAAAUUUUUAUCUAACUUCCCAGCCACUUCCUGAUGUUUUAGUAUUUUGGUAUUGUUAAGGACAGAAUGGAAAUUUCGUACAUGGGUCCAUCCCAUUGGUACGUUGAAAAUACCAUAUAUUAUGGAGAAUUUGGAUGUUCAGUUGUCUGUAACCCGUCUUCCCCAUGUGUUUUUGACCAUUUUUGGGGUAAGAUCAUUGGCAGGAAAUAGGAACUCUGUACUAUAAGCACCAGUGAAACCAUCUCAGGCCCACUUAUUUGAAUAUGUAUCAGACUCAGCCUCUCCACUUGCUUUGUAUUUUCUCAUUUCACAACUAAGACAGCCACCUUCUAAUGCUCUUUCAUGUUGUUUCUGCAUCUUGUCACCAAAUGGCAUUUAACAAAAUGGGUAUUUUCCAGUCGUACUUGCCCAGUGUUUACUUAAUACAUCUACAUUUUUUCCUGGUCUAUUUUGGUCCGCUUCUUGGUGACAAAAGCUAUGAUUUUAGGCAGGACUAUGCCUUGAUCUAUAGCUGUACCUACUUCCUUUGCUCAUCUCUGUUAGCUGGCAGUUUUUCUUUUAAAAAGUUAAAAACGGGAUAUGUGCAAUAGAAAUAUAUAUAUGUAUAUUUUAAUACUUGUGGACAAAUGUUACAAGUUGUUUAAGAACAACAAAAUCACCAAUGUCUUCCAUUUUGAGAUGUGUAUAGUUUUGUAAGCAUUAGUGCUUGGUAGCGUAUUGUAGUGCCAUGUUAGAGGUUAGUGCAUGAACCUAGUAAUAAUUUAAACUUCAGGAUAAAUUAUUAUAACCCAUAGUGUAAAAAGAGUGAAAAAUCUUUUCUUUUUUCAUAAAUUUCUGUAUCCAUGAUAUACUCCCUGGGGAAAGGAGAUUAGGCCAAAAAGACUCAUUUAUGAACAGAAAUGUGGGGUCAUAAUGUGAAAUACUGUGUUUGAGGAUACUUACGCUUUCCAUGAGGUAGCUGGAAACCAGCUGCCUUUGUGUCUUAUGAAACCUUAAAUUAAAAUGAGGCCCCAUUUUACGAUUCUGCUUUGUUCUCCGUUUGAGGUGAAAUUGUUCUUUCCCUGUUUUCACAUUGUAUGUCCUUCUAGGUUUAUUAGUUUCCUACUCCUUUUGCAUCAAGCAAGUAUAUUUUGACUGUCUUAACUGAGAUGCUGUGUUAAUUGCUUGAGUGUUUUUCUAAUCUGCAGACCAUUUACAUUUCCUGUUUGCAGCAUGCUAACAGAAGAACACUGGUCAGUAGUUCAGUGUCCUAGAUUAAUUUGUCACAGGCUUUUCCUAUUUCCAAAUCUGCUGAAUUAUGCAUCGAUGGGAUUCCAGACCUUUUCAUGAGGGUUGGGAAUGUAACUGAUGGAGCCUACCUAGAUUGCCCUGUAGUAACUCUUGCUUGGUUAUAGUAAGCCGCCUCAGACAGCUUUCACUUUUUUCUACUUUCCUUGUAGACAUAAAAGUUUUGUUCUGAAAACAUAAGACAGCUUUCUGUAGAAAAGAAAUUCCUACCUCUAAAAGCUGCCUUUAGAGCUUGGAAAUGGCAGUUUUUUGAGGUGAUUUUUAAAUCUUGGUAUUAGGAGAGUCCAGGAUUUACUGGCACAGGUUCUACAGUUAGCAUGAUAGGAAAUGUAAAACUAUUUUAAUGUGUGUCUCCUGUGUAGAAGCAAGCUUAGACAAACUUUUUGGCAGCAGAUCUCCAGGGCCCCAGGGUUACAUUCUCAUAGUGUAUUUUUAGUAGUUGUAUUGGCUCAAGUAGUUUAGCGCCUGCAAGAAUCCAUUUCUGAAAAGCAUUUAAACAUUUUUUUAAAAAAAUACCUCUGAAAAGGUAAUGAAUGCAAAAUAGCACAGUAUAUAGGAAAGGAUAUUUCCUGUUGCAAAAAAAAAAAAAAA
This is a long non-coding RNA of Rhinolophus ferrumequinum (greater horseshoe bat), 4021 nucleotides long. RefSeq lists it as uncharacterized. Lineage: Eukaryota; Metazoa; Chordata; Mammalia; Chiroptera; Rhinolophidae. The record is from RefSeq and is a predicted model, not a curated record. The transcript is spliced from 3 exons.